ACAUGCAUACAACAUGGCAUUAAUGCAAUCGAUCCCAUAAAAAAUCCAUAGUUAAGUGUGUUCAGGCUAGAGUAGUACUGGGAUGGGUGACCGCCUGGGAAGUCCUAGUGUUUAACAUGCC
This is a non-coding RNA of Picea glauca (white spruce), 121 nucleotides long. The record is from Rfam. NCBI's taxonomy places the organism in Eukaryota, Viridiplantae, Streptophyta, Pinopsida, Pinales, Pinaceae.